CNUUUCGAGGGGUAUGGUUCUUCGGAACCAGAGACCGGCGCACGGGUGCGUAACGCGUAUGCAAUCUACCUUUUACAGAGGGAUAGCCCAGAGAAAUUUGGAUUAAUACCUCAUAGNAUAUCAGCUCCGCAUGAAGCCACUAUUAAAGUCACAACGGUAAAAGAUGAGCAUGCGUCCCAUUAGCUAGUUGGUAAGGUAACGGCUUACCAAGGCUACGAUGGGUAGGGGUCCUGAGAGGGAGAUCCCCCACACUGGUACUGAGACACGGACCAGACUCCUACGGGAGGCAGCAGUGAGGAAUAUUGGACAAUGGGCGCAAGCCUGAUCCAGCCAUGCCGCGUGCAGGAUGACGGUCCUAUGGAUUGUAAACUGCUUUUAUACGAGAAGAAACACUACUUCGUGAAGUAGCUUGACGGUAUCG
RNAcentral lists this ribosomal RNA (421 nucleotides) under Flavobacterium sp. O-TRP6:1-2. Its description in RNAcentral is "bacterial SSU rRNA". It matches the Rfam family "Bacterial small subunit ribosomal RNA", at positions 58 to 480 of the family's 1533-position model. The record is from RNAcentral. Lineage: Bacteria; Pseudomonadati; Bacteroidota; Flavobacteriia; Flavobacteriales; Flavobacteriaceae.